This 2183-nucleotide long non-coding RNA is filed under the name Homo sapiens (human). RNAcentral describes it as "HSALNT0338125". Lineage: Eukaryota; Metazoa; Chordata; Mammalia; Primates; Hominidae. The record is from RNAcentral.
AGAGACAGAGACAGUGUGUACCAUUUUAUAAUAUGAGAGCUCUGCAUCUUCUAAGACCUGAGGAAGGUCAUCCCAGCUUUCUGUCAGGAAAGGAAACAGCACUUCUCAAAAAAUAGAAAGAGCAUGAUAUGGAGCUGGAGAGGAGGGGAGAGGAGAACAGAAGGCAAGGUGGGAAAGGACACCUGGCAGAGACAACAUCUGGAUCCUGAACCUGGAGGAGAAAUCCACUUAUAUCUCACUUUAGAUUUGCCAGCUGCUUUUAUUUUUAUUUGGACUUACAGAAAGGUUGAGAAGAAAAUACGGGAGUGAACUGUAGCAAUAAACGGUUUGUGGGUAAUUUUGGUACUUUAAUGUGGCUUCUAAAAUGUGUACUACAUGACUUAGGAAGGAAUAUUUAAGGAGCCCAGCUGCACUAACGUGGGUUGCUAUUGUGUUAUUACUAAAAUAGCUGAGAGAGACUCUCUGUGCAGUCACCCUAAGUGAGUUAUUUUGAGUGAGUUGCUAUGGUGGUAUGACCUGCAUGUAUGACUAAACAUACAAAAAAGCCAAAAGGCCAGAAAUGAAGUGUCAGCUAUGAAGAUGCUAGUGAUAAAAGCCUACCCCAAAGCAAUGACAGAUACUUUGAAAAUACUUUGAGGGAAUAAAGCACUCUUAGGGAACACAGGGUUUGAAGUAGGACUGUGUUGUUAUUAUUGAGUUAUUUUCCAAUAAUUUUCGAGAGUCUGCCACAGCUUUGAGGCCAGUCUUUUAUAUCAUUGCCCAGGCAGGGGCUCCAUAGCUCAGGGGUUAGAGCACUGCUCUUGUAGUAUCAUUGCCCUACACAAGUGAAUUUGGGUAAAAAGGAAAACAGAAGGAACUUUAACAGGCAAGUAUGGAGACUGAAGUUCCACAGUAGCCCCUAGCACCAAAUAAAAGUACAACAGGUCUCAAUCAUCACUUCCAGGCAUUGAGAGAAGAAGUGCGAUUUUUGAGUCUUGACUUUUGGAAUCUGCAAGAGUAAGUAAAUGGCUCUCUGUGUCUGUCUGGUGCCUAGGGCCAGCUCUCUCCUCUGACACUGUCCUCAUUAGCAUGCUAGGUGAGCAUGACAACUCCGCUAGUCAGAUAUCACUACAUCCUCAACUUCACAGAGGUGGUCUCUCAUCUACCAUAUUUUCUGAACACCAAUUCACAGUGCAGUACUGGGCAAGCUACAUAAAAAUUUCCUGCGAAGUUUGUAACAUUUUUUUAAAGCUAAAAAUUAGAGAUUCUGAUUCUGGCCUGAACCUUGGGAAUGUGUAUUUUUUAAAAGUUUCCCGAGUGAUUUUCAUGGGGAAUUAGUUUAAAAAACACUGGUAUAGACUUUCCACUUUGGAAUUUAAUCAGGUUGUGUUUUUUUAAAUUUCACCUAUUGCUGUGUUGGGGCUACUUACCUAGAUGUGAGGGCUAUAUGACCCCACCCCUAUCAACAGCACUCCAAAUACUGACCAAAUGAAUGAAUGAAUGAAUGAAUGAGGUUGCAUUCGGAGUCAGAGGACCAAAAGGAAGAAUGUCUUCUUCAUGGUAUGGUCCCCACAUUACUUGGAAAAGAAUUAUAAAUCCCUCUUUCUAAAGAAAGAAAAAAAGAGAAAGGCAGGCAGGCAGGCAAAAAGGAGUGAAGGAAGGAAAGAAGAAAGGAAGGGAGGGAGGGAGGGAAGAGAGAGAGAGGCAGGAGGGAAAGGAAAGAGGGAGGAAUUUCAUAAAUAUUUACAUAAAAUCAUCUUUGUUCCUGGGAGCUGAGCCAUAAAUCUCUGAAGAGACCAUUGGAUCAGUAAGGCCUGGGAGCUGUGAGUACAGUGAUAGCUGUUAGCUCUGGCCCACUCUUGAGUGAGCUGAACGUUUGAGCUAUGAGGGCAUCCUUCCCCCACAAAAUUUCCCCAGUGAGGAGCUCGUGCACCCCAUCUGUGCAUCAGCCCCACUGACAAACUUUCCUGUCCGCCAUCCCUGGUCCAUAUGGCUCAACUGGGACUCCUCUCCUGGCGGUCACCAUAGUCCCCCCUUAAAAGUUUGAAGGUAGCUCAGAUUCCAUCUAUCAGGGUGAAAACCCUGUGUCUUGCUCAGGAAUAUUCUUCCUCGUCAGCUGUAAGAAAAGAAACAAAAAUUAAUAUUUACGUCCACAUGCUGUUUCUUUCCAUCCACCCCACCCUGAGUCACCUUUGGACUUGACC